RNAcentral lists this ribosomal RNA (167 nucleotides) under uncultured bacterium. RNAcentral's name for it is "partial 16S ribosomal RNA". It matches the Rfam family "Bacterial small subunit ribosomal RNA", at positions 1334 to 1500 of the family's 1533-position model. The record is from RNAcentral.
GCUAGUAAUCGCGGAUCAGCAUGCCGCGGUGAAUACGUUCCCGGGCCUUGUACACACCGCCGUCACACCAUGGGAGUUUGUAACGCCCAAAGUCGGUGGCCUAACCUUUAUGGAGGGAGCCGCCUAAGGCGGGACAGAUGACUGGGGUGAAGUCGUAACAAGGUACC